This 1383-nucleotide ribosomal RNA is filed under the name uncultured bacterium. RNAcentral's name for it is "bacterial SSU rRNA". It matches the Rfam family "Bacterial small subunit ribosomal RNA", at positions 29 to 1403 of the family's 1533-position model. The record is from RNAcentral.
UUGAACGCUGGCGGUAUGCUUAACACAUGCAAGUCGAACGGAAACGAUACUAGCUUGCUAGUAGGCGUCGAGUGGCGGACGGGUGAGUAACGCGUAGGAAUCUGCCUGAUAGUGGGGGGUAGCCCGAAGAAAUUCGGAUUAAUACCGCAUAAUCUAUUCGUAGUAAAGUGGGGGACUUUCGAGCCUCACGCUAUCAGAUGAGCCUGCGUAAGAUUAGCUUGUUGGUAGGGUAAAAGCCUACCAAGGCGACGAUCUUUAGCUGGUCUGAGAGGAUGAUCAGCCACAUCGGGACUGAGACACGGCCCGAACUCCUACGGGAGGCAGCAGUGGGGAAUAUUGGACAAUGGGGGCAACCCUGAUCCAGCAAUACCGCGUGUGUGAAGAAGGCCUGAGGGUUGUAAAGCACUUUCAAUUGUGAAGAAAAGUUAGCGGUUAAUAACCGUUAGCCUUGACGUUAACUUUAGAAGAAGCACCGGCUAACUCCGUGCCAGCAGCCGCGGUAAUACGGAGGGUGCAAGCGUUAAUCGGAAUUACUGGGCGUAAAGCGUGCGUAGGCGGUUUAUUAAGUCAGAUGUGAAAGCCCCGGGCUUAACCUGGGAACUGCAUUUGAAACUGGUCAACUAGAGUAUGGUAGAGGAAAGUGGAAUUUCUGGUGUAGCGGUGAAAUGCGUAGAUAUCAGAAGGAACAUCAAUGGCGAAGGCAGCUUUCUGGACCAAUACUGACGCUGAGGUACGAAAGCGUGGGUAGCAAACAGGAUUAGAUACCCUGGUAGUCCACGCCGUAAACGAUGAUAACUAGCCGUUGGGGGGAUUUACCCCUUAGUGGCGAAGCUAACGCGUUAAGUUAUCCGCCUGGGGAGUACGGCCGCAAGGUUAAAACUCAAAGGAAUUGACGGGGACCCGCACAAGCGGUGGAGCAUGUGGUUUAAUUCGAUGCAACGCGAAGAACCUUACCUGGUCUUGACAUCCUGCGAACUUUCUAGAAAUAGAUUGGUGCCUUCGGGAACGCAGUGACAGGUGCUGCAUGGCUGUCGUCAGCUCGUGUCGUGAGAUGUUGGGUUAAGUCCCGUAACGAGCGCAACCCCUAUCCUUAUUUGCCAGCACAUCAUGGUGGGAACUAUAAGGAGACUGCCGGUGAUAAACCGGAGGAAGGCGGGGACGACGUCAAGUCAUCAUGGCCCUUACGACCAGGGCUACACACGUGCUACAAUGGGAAGGACAAAGAGCCGCGAAGCCGCGAGGUGUAGCUAAUCUCAUAAACCUUUUCGUAGUCCGGAUUGGAGUCUGCAACUCGACUCCAUGAAGUCGGAAUCGCUAGUAAUCGUAGAUCAGAAUGCUACGGUGAAUACGUUCCCGGGUCUUGUACACACCGCCCGUCAAGGG